This 1235-nucleotide long non-coding RNA is filed under the name Meriones unguiculatus (Mongolian gerbil). RNAcentral's name for it is "lncRNA (ENSMUGG00000021475.1)". The record is from RNAcentral. Lineage: Eukaryota; Metazoa; Chordata; Mammalia; Rodentia; Muridae.
GCUGGCUGAGUACUGUGCGCUUAGGGACGCCCACCCCAGGUUUCUGGAAGUCAGAAGCCGGUGGAUGGCAGCUGGGAAGCAACCUGGCCGGCUCCCCUCACUAGGACCAUGGGUUUGAUGGGGCAGGCCUAGUUUCCUUCGGAAGGAUUGAAGGAAGGCCCGUAGCUCAGAUUUGGUGUUCGAGGUGGAGGGGUCAGGUAGGGGCCGGCUGCGGUGGGGUGCCCUGUGGAGCAUAGGCUGUCCUCCCUUUAUUUGGUGACUACCCGUUGAGAUGGAGGGCGUCAUGUAGGGAGCCCCGUCUUCUUCAACUUUCCACCCACAGUUCCUCCCUUCCUGGGGAUGCUCUCCUCCUCUGUGGGAGACCUCCAUUGGUGUUAAUGGUCCAGGUCCACCAUUUUCAGCAUCCCACAGCGACUCUUCUCCAGACCAAAGUGUCCUGUCCAUCCCCUAGGCGCCUUGCUCCCCCCACCAGUCUCUCCCAACACCUCAGGUUUCUCAGGAGCUUCCUUUACUCUCUAACUUGGGUCCUCGGGUCAUAAUCUGUGCUACUGUCUCUUCAGCUGCUGUUCUGCUGUCCAGUGGCCCUAGAACAUCACACUAAGUCUUCUCUUUCUUCUGACAGUCUUUUGAGAAAGGAAGGUCACCAAGCGUGAGCGUCGGGCCUGGGGUUGUACUUCAAGUCCAUGCUUGCUCAACAUCUAAAUGAAGCCCUGUGUAGUUCAGUCCCCAGCACUGCAUAAAUUAGCUGUGGGGAUACACACCUUUACUCUUGGCGGGAAAGACUAGAGGAUUAGAAAUUCGAUGUCCUUGCCUACUCAGAGAGUUCAAGGCCAGCCUGAUGGCUACUGUUAGCUGUCAGCCGGAUACAAUGGGAAGAGAGUUGCAAGUGGAGAUUGUCUAGUUCAGGUUGGCGUUUUCCUUUUCUUUUCUCAAUUGGGGCAAAGCCUCCUCAUAGAGCCCUGGCUUGCUUGUACUUGUGCAGGCCAGCCUGACCUUGAUGAGGCGUGCCGCAGUUCAGGCUCUUCACUGUGCAUAUGACUACUGCCUUCAGGUUCCUCGGCUUCCCUGGAUUGGAAGCAAGGACAAGAUGCGCCCCCUGCUUCAGAGGAAGGCCCCACCUUUAUCUUCUGUGGUUGUUUACUUGACAAGACAGUUUGGAACAGAAGGGUGAACGCAUCUGUCCUCAAAGGUGCUGACUAAGGGUUAACAAUUGUCUUCCCACACGUUCCUGCCCA